This 515-nucleotide ribosomal RNA is filed under the name uncultured bacterium. Its description in RNAcentral is "partial 16S ribosomal RNA". It matches the Rfam family "Bacterial small subunit ribosomal RNA", at positions 28 to 523 of the family's 1533-position model. The record is from RNAcentral.
GAUGAACGCUGGCGGCGUGCCUAAUACAUGCAAGUCGAGCGAAUGGAUUAAGAGCUUGCUCUUAUGAAGUUAGCGGCGGACGGGUGAGUAACACGUGGGUAACCUGCCCAUAAGACUGGGAUAACUCCGGGAAACCGGGGCUAAUACCGGAUAACAUUUUGAACCGCAUGGUUCGAAAUUGAAAGGCGGCUUCGGCUGUCACUUAUGGAUGGACCCGCGUCGCAUUAGCUAGUUGGUGAGGUAACGGCUCACCAAGGCAACGAUGCGUAGCCGACCGGAGAGGGUGAUCGGCCACACUGGGACUGAGCCACGGCCCAGACGCCUACGGGAGGCAGCAGUAGGGAAUCGUCCGCAAUGGACGAAAGUCUGACGGAGCAACGCCGCGUGAGUGAUGAAGGCUUUCGGGCCGUAAAGCUCUGUUGUUAGGGAAGAACAAGUGCUAGUUGAAUAAGCUGGCACCUUGACGGUACCUAACCAGAAAGCCACGGCUAACUACGUGCCAGCCGCCGCUGUAA